AUGCUCACUUUGGCAGCACAUAUACUAAAAUUGAAAUGAUACAGAGAAGGUUAGCAUGGCCCUGCACAAUGACAGCAAUACGAAGCAUGUUUUA
Molecule: small nuclear RNA, 94 nt
Filed under: Sus scrofa (pig)
Lineage: Eukaryota; Metazoa; Chordata; Mammalia; Artiodactyla; Suidae
Source: RNAcentral